AUCGCGUCGCCACCCCCGCCAUAUUCAUGUCGAGGGGUGACGGAAAUUGGCCUCCCGUGUCGCAUGGUGCGGUUGGCCUAAAUGCGAUUCCUCGGCUGGGGAUGUCACGACAAGUGGUGGUUGAAUUUCUCAACUCGCGUGUUGUCGCUACAGUCGUGGAACUAUUUUGACCCUCGAGCCUGAGUUAUCUCGGGCCUUCGAAC
This 203-nucleotide unclassified non-coding RNA is filed under the name Ophiorrhiza hayatana. RNAcentral's name for it is "ITS2". The record is from RNAcentral. Lineage: Eukaryota; Viridiplantae; Streptophyta; Magnoliopsida; Gentianales; Rubiaceae.